UGUUGUUGAAGGGAUUUUCCCCCAGAUCUUCCUCGGAGCCGCCGGCCCCCUCGACGGCAGUCUUGCGACUGCGGCUCCUCCGAGCCAGGGUCUUCUUUCUCCUCCUCUUUUCGGCCCCGGGUGCCCCCUCGGGACGAGCCUCUGGAGCGAGAUCCUCGGUCGGGGGGCUCCUUGAAGGGGCUCGGGGGACUUCGGGUUCGGCGUCGGAAGGGACUUCGACGGCGACGACCACUGGAACAGGCGCGGCCGAGCUUGUCCCUUCUGUCCUG
This 269-nucleotide long non-coding RNA is filed under the name Elaeis guineensis (African oil palm). RNAcentral describes it as "long non-coding RNA (EGUI_LNC075160)". The record is from RNAcentral. Lineage: Eukaryota; Viridiplantae; Streptophyta; Magnoliopsida; Arecales; Arecaceae.